Molecule: ribosomal RNA, 497 nt
Filed under: uncultured bacterium
Lineage: Bacteria
Description: partial 16S ribosomal RNA
Rfam family: Bacterial small subunit ribosomal RNA
Source: RNAcentral
GAUGAACGCUGGCGGCGUGCCUAAUACAUGCAAGUCGAGCGAACGGACGAGAAGCUUGCUUCUCUGAUGUUAGCGGCGGACGGGUGAGUAACACGUGGAUAACCUACCUAUAAGACUGGGAUCACUUCGGGAAACCGGCGCUAAUACCGUAUAAUCUUUUGAACCGCAUUGUUCAAAAGUGAAAGACGGUCUUGCUGUCACUUCUAGCUGCAUCCGCGCUGCAUUAGGUAGUUGGUAAGGUCACGGCUUACCAAGGCGACGAUGCAUAGCCGACCUGAGAGGGUGAGCGGCCACACUGGAACUGAGACACGGUCCAGACUCAUACGGGAGGCAGCAGUAGGGAAUCUUCCGCAAUGGGCGAAAGACUGACGGAGCAACGCCGCGUGAGUGAGGAAGAUCUUCGGAUCGGAAAACUCUGUUAUUAGGGAAGAACAUAUGUGUAAGUAACUGGGAACAUCUUGAAGGUACAUAAUCAGAAAGCCACGGCUAAAUACGGG